RNAcentral lists this ribosomal RNA (476 nucleotides) under uncultured bacterium. RNAcentral describes it as "bacterial SSU rRNA". It matches the Rfam family "Bacterial small subunit ribosomal RNA", at positions 30 to 527 of the family's 1533-position model. The record is from RNAcentral.
AUUGAACGCUGGCGGAAUGCUUUACACAUGCAAGUCGAACGGUAGAGGGGGCAACCCCUUGAGAGUGGCGAACGGGUGAGUAAUAUAUCGGAACGUGCCCAGUCGUGGGGAUAACGUAGCGAAAGUUACGCUAAUACCGCAUACGAUCUAAGGAUGAAAGCGGGGGAUCGCAAGACCUCGCGCGAUUGGAGCGGCCGAUAUCAGAUUAGGUAGUUGGUGAGGUAAAGGCUCACCAAGCCAACGAUCUGUAGCUGGUCUGAGAGGAUGAUCAGCCACACUGGGACUGAGACACGGCCCAGACUCCUACGGGAGGCAGCAGUGGGGAAUAUUGGACGAUGGGCGAAAGCCUGAUCCAGCAAUGCCGCGUGAGUGAUGAAGGCCUUAGGGUUGUAAAGCUCUUUUACCCGGGAUGAUAAUGACAGUACCGGAGAAUAAGCUCCGGCUAACUCCGUGCCAGCAGCCGCGGUAAAGUGACU